RNAcentral lists this small nuclear RNA (185 nucleotides) under Prolemur simus (greater bamboo lemur). RNAcentral describes it as "U2 spliceosomal RNA (ENSPSMG00000008583.1)". It matches the Rfam family "U2 spliceosomal RNA". Rfam says of the family: U2 is a small nuclear RNA (snRNA) component of the spliceosome (involved in pre-mRNA splicing). Lineage: Eukaryota; Metazoa; Chordata; Mammalia; Primates; Lemuridae. The record is from Rfam by way of RNAcentral.
AUCGCUUUUCAGCCUUUUGGCUAAGAUCAAGUGUAGUAUCUAUUAUCAGUUUAAUAUCUAAUAUGUCCUCUAACCUAGGACAAUAUAUUAAAUGGAUUUUUGGAGCAGGGAGAUGGAAUAGGAGCUUGCUCCGUCCACUCCACGCAUCAACCUGGUAUUGCAGGAAAUGUUAAAGUGCCACAAAC